RNAcentral lists this ribosomal RNA (305 nucleotides) under uncultured bacterium. RNAcentral describes it as "partial 16S ribosomal RNA". It matches the Rfam family "Bacterial small subunit ribosomal RNA", at positions 508 to 807 of the family's 1533-position model. The record is from RNAcentral.
ACAGCAGCCGCCGCGGUAAAACGGAGGGCGCGAGCGUUACCCGGAUUUACUGGGCGUAAAGGGCGUGUAGGCGGCCUGGGGCGUCCCAUGUGAAAGGCCACGGCUCAACCGUGGAGGAGCGUGGGAUACGCUCAGGCUAGAGGGUGGGAGAGGGUGGUGGAAUUCCCGGAGUAGCGGUGAAAUGCGCAGAUACCGGGAGGAACGCCGAUGGCGAAGGCAGCCACCUGGUCCACUUCUGACGCUGAGGCGCGAAAGCGUGGGGAGCAAACCGGAUUAGAGACCCCCGUAGUCCCUGUCUCUUAUAC